UACGUAGGUGGCGAGCGUUGUCCGGCAUUACUGGGUGUAAAGCGCGUGUAGGCGGGAGGCCAAGUCUGUGGUGAAAUCGCUCGGCUUAACUGGGCGGGGUCCAUGGAAACUGGUCACCUGGAGGUCGGUAGAGGCAAGUGGAAUUCCCGGUGUAGUGGUGAAAUGCGUAGAGAUCGGGAGGAACACCAGUGGCGAAGGCGGCUUGCUGGGCCGGACCUGACGCUGAGACGCGAAGGCGUGGGGAGCGAACGGG
This 253-nucleotide ribosomal RNA is filed under the name uncultured bacterium. RNAcentral's name for it is "partial 16S ribosomal RNA". It matches the Rfam family "Bacterial small subunit ribosomal RNA", at positions 524 to 776 of the family's 1533-position model. The record is from RNAcentral.